Molecule: non-coding RNA, 23 nt
Filed under: Cricetulus griseus (Chinese hamster)
Lineage: Eukaryota; Metazoa; Chordata; Mammalia; Rodentia; Cricetidae
Source: RNAcentral
GCGUCCGUUCUAGCCUGAGGCUG